Molecule: long non-coding RNA, 8094 nt
Organism: Lycium barbarum (goji berry)
Lineage: Eukaryota; Viridiplantae; Streptophyta; Magnoliopsida; Solanales; Solanaceae
Exons: 2
Source: RefSeq, a predicted model, not a curated record
UUCUAAAGUCCUUCAAAAGCAAAACGCCAUUCCCAAGUCCCCAAUGUAAACCACAGCUGGAUAACACCAUAUUUGGCUAAAAUUCCAGCAUAUUUUCGCGAAAUUCAGCCAUUGUUCAUCCAGUUAUAGCAAGAAAUUUAUCGAUCCUUGUCUUCUUCCUCUAGUGAAGUCAAACAAACGGUAACUUUUCUUUUUUAUCUUUUCGAUUUUCCAUUUUCUUUAAAAGAUUCGGAUUUCAAAUCCUUUAUGAAUGAACUUCAAGUUGAAAUGCAUUCCAAGGCAAUCCAAACAUUGUCCCAUAUCGGUGUCAAACACUAAAACCCUAGCAUUUGGGGUUCUAUAAAUAGAUACCCAACUCUUUGUCACGACCUAUUUUACCUAAAGCCAUGCGGGCACUCACCUUCCCACCUCGGUAAGCGAACCCUCAACCCAACAAUGAAUAAAUACAUAAAAGAAUGAGUAUGUAUAUAUAUAAUAUAUAUAAGUAGUAGAAUAGUGCGGAAUAAUAAUAACACCCCCAAAUUCGGUAUAAACCCUAACUCUUUGAUUCCGAAAUUCAACGCUAGAAAUGAAAGAUAUAUGAUUAACAAGCUUAGAUUCAUCAAAAUCUUACAUAAACUCCAUCAAUUUUAUCAUUAAUAGCCUAGGGAAAAUGCUCAUCAAAACCCUCUUCCAACUUCCACUUCUAAGGGGUUUUUCAAGGAAAGGGGGAAUCUAAGAUGAUUAUGAUUAAAGGAAGAGUAAAAGAAUUAGCAAGAAUUACCUCCAAGAAUAUCUCCAAAAUAUCUCCAAGAACUGUUUCCCAAGGUCAAAUUUCGAAAUGGGAAAUAAUGAGGGUCUAAGGGCUUUUAACAUUUCAUUAAUUUUACAAACUACACGUCAUCUGCUUUACGGGCACUGGGACCGCCCUAGCGGUGCCACUUCAGCGGUCAAGGCAAAAGCCAUUGGACCGCUCCAGCGGUACCACUGUCGCGGUGCUGCCAAAGCGGGCACCAGACACCAGAAAACUCUCCAAGUUUGACCAAUUGAUCCGAUUUUCUGACUAGUUUCUGAGAAAAUCUGCUCACAUACCAUACACAUAGACACACAUAAAAACACGCUACGAACGCGCCCGUGGCCUCGGAAUUCCCAGCGGAUGUCUCGUUGACCGAGUCAACCCCCGAUGCCUUAAUUCCAAUUUCCCAACCUAAGUCCCAAAAUGCAUCCGGGUGCAUUUGGUAUCGAACCAAAUACACACACAAUUUCUAAACGACCAUCCGGACCUCUAGGAAUCGAUGGAAUCCCGAAAAGGUCCAUGUAUUCAAAAGUCAACUUUGUAUCAACCAUUUUUCAUUUCAAGUCAAUAUUUCAAAAAAGUUGCCCGAAUCAAGUCUAGACACCUCGGGAAGCGUGCCAACGACCCCCUAAGGUAAAAAAUGAGCUAAUCAAUGCUCAGAAAUGGGCGAAAUGCUGAAAAGACCAUAACGACCAAACGGGUUGUUACAUCAGAUACCAAUUAAACCGUCACUCGUCCUCAAGCGAAGAAAAGAAAGAAAGCGGGGAAAUACUUGAAUCAGUAAACAACUGAGGAUAUCGGCUACGCAUGUCAAACUGGGUCUCCCAAGUAGCCUCCUCAACAGGACGGUGCUUCCAUUGCACCUUCACGGAAGCAAUCUCCUUUGACCUCAACUUUCGAACUUGCCUAUCCGAGAUCGCGAUAGGCUCCUCCUCAUAACUCAAUUUCUCAUCAAGUAAUAUAGCAUCCCAACGAAAAAUGUAGGUAUCGUCGGCAUGGUACUUCUUCAGCAUCGAAACAUAAAAGACCGGAUGAACUCUUGCCAAGCCUGGCGGCAAUGCCAACUCAUAAGUUACAUCACCGAUAUGGUCAACAAUCUUAAACGGACCAAUAUACCUGGGGCUCAACUUGCCCUUCUUACCAAACCUUAUAACACCCUUCAUGGGUGAAACCUUCAAUAGAACCUGGUCACCAAUAGCAAACUUCAAAUCCCGGACCUUCCGGUCCGCAUACACCUUUUGCCGACUCUGAGCUGCUAAAAGUUUGGCCUGGAUAACUCUCACUCUAUCCAAGGACUCUCUCAAUAGAUUCGUGCUCCAAGGCCGAGCCUCGAAUCCAUCAAACCAACCAAUCAGAGAUCUACAUCUCCUAUCAUAUAAAGCCUCAAAAGGCGCUAUGCCAAUACUCGAAUGAUAAUUGUUGUUGUACGCAAACUCUACCAAGGGAAAGUGCUGAUCCUAAUGACCACCAAAAUCAAUAACACACGCUCUCAACAUUUCCUCGAGCACCUGGAUGGUCCGCUCGUACGGGCCAUCGAUCUGGGGAUGAAAAGUUGUACUAAGAUCCAAUUGGGUACCCAACUCCUCAUAAAACGCUCUCCAGAAACGGGAAGUGAAAAUAGUUCCUCAAUUAGAUACAACAGAAAUAGGAACCCCAUACAAUCUCAUAAUAUCCCGAAUGUACAUCUUGGCUAACUUCUCUGCGGUAUGGGAAGCCUGAACUGGAACAAAGUGAGCGGACUUAGUCAACCGAUAGAUCACCCAAAUAGAUCGAACUUGCCAAGGGUCUUCGGAAGACCCGUGACAAAAUCCAUGGUAAUCCUCUCCCAUUUCCACUCGGGAAUGGGCAUCCUCUGAAGCACCCCACCGGGUCGCUGGUGCUCAUACUUUACCUGCUGACAAUUUUCACAAUUAGCUACAAAAUCAACUAUAUCUUUCUUUAUCCGACGCCACCAAUAGUGUUGUCUCAAGUCACGGUACAUCUUAGUUGCCCCCGGAUGAAUGGAAUAGCGAGAACUAUGAGCCUCAGAUAAAAUCAACUGAAUUAAAUCACCGACAUGAGGAACGCACACGCGUCCUCUAAUCCUCAAAAUGUCGUCAGAAUCAAUCACGGCCUCCUUGGCUUCACCCCUCAAAACUCUAUCUCGAAUCUUGCUCAACUGAGCAUCCUCAAACUGAUGAGUCUUGAUCCGAUCCAAUAAGGACGACCUCGCCUUUAAACAAGCCAAAAUCCUGCCCGGGGCUGAAAUAUCAAGACGAAUGAAACUGUUGGCCAGAGUAUGAACCUCCAUGGCCAACGGGGGCUCAGAAACAAUCAAUCGAGCUAAACUCCCCAUAUUCACUGUCUUGCGACUCAAGGCAUCAGCCACUACAUUGCCUUUCCCGGGAUGAUACAGAAUAGAGAUGUCGUAGUCCUUCAGGAGCUCUAUCCAUCAGCGCUGCUUGGGAUUAAGAUAAACACAUGUUGAAGACUACGGUGACCUGUGAAAACUUCACAAUGAACACCGUACAAAUAAUGCCUCCAAAUCUUCAAAGCAAAGACCACGACCAACAACUUCAAGUCAUGGGUAGGGUAAUUCUUCUUAUGAACCUUCAACUGUCGGGAAGCAUAAGCUAUCACUCUACCCUCCUACAUCAACAUAGCACCAAAACCCAUAUGGGAAGCAUCACAAUAGACAGCGAAAUCCUUGCCCUUCACGAAUAAUGCCAAAAUCGGGGUUGUAGUCAAAAGAAGCUUGAGCUUUUGAAAGCUUUCCUCACAAUCAUUCGUCCACUGGAAGGGACCAUCCUUCUGAGUCAAUCUGGUCAAUCUGGUCAAGGAUGAAGCAAUAGCAGCAAAACCCUUCACAAAGCGACGGUAAUAACAGGCCAAGCCCACAAAACUACGAAUCUCAAUAACAGUAAUGGGCCUCGCCCAACCUCUCACAGCCUCAAUCUUCUGUGGAUCAACCAUAAUCCCAUCCUUAGACACAACAUGGCCUAAGAAUGUUACAGACACCAACCAGAACUCACAUUUAGAAAACUUAGCAAACAAGCUAUAUUUCUUCAACAACCCAAGAACAGAACGAAGAUGGCCCUCGUGCUCCUCCCUACUCUUGGAAUACACCAAGAUGUCAUCAAUAAAUACAAUCACAAAGGAAUCAAGGAAUGGCCUAAAGAUGCCAUUCAUCAAAGUCAUAAAUGUGACCGAGGCGUUGGUAAGCCCAAAAGACAUCACUAGAAACUCAUAGUGGCCAUAUCUCGUCCGAAAGGCUGUCUUCGGAAUAUCCUCUGCCCUGAUCUUCAACGGGUGAUAGCCAGAACGCAAAUCAAUCUGCGAAAACACCAAAGCACCCUGAAGCUGGUCAAACAGAUCAUCAAUACGAGGCAUAGGGCACUUGUUCUGAAUAGUGACCUUGUUCAACUGGCUGUAAUCAAUACACAUCCUCAUGGUCCCAUCUUUCUUCUUCACAAAUAACACAGGAGCACUCUAAGGGGAGACAUCGCUCUAAUGAACCCGUUGCUCAACAAAUCUUAUAACUGCUCCUUAAGCUCUCUUAACUCAGCAGGUCACAUCCGAUAUGGCGGAAUAGAAAUAGGAAGAGUGCCCAGAUCUAAGUCAAUAUAGAAAUCAAUGUCGCCAUCGGGUGGCAUACCCGACAGAUCUGUCGGGAAUACCUCCGCAAACUCGCUCACAAUAGGGAUAGACUCAAGGGGUGGAGAUGCAAUAAUUGUAUCAUGAACACGAGCCAAAUAAGCUAGACACCCCUUACUUACUAACUUCUUUGCCCGAAGGAAGAAAAUAAUUUUCUUCGGAGCGGGGCUAGGAGUACCCUUCCACUCAAGCCUAGGAAUGCACGGCAUGGCUAAGGUAACUGUCUUGGCGUGACAGUCUAAGAUCGUGUGAUAGGGAGAAAGCCAGGACAUACCCAAUAUAACAUCAAAUUCCACAAUAUCGAGAAUCAUCAGCUCUACCCAAGUAUCAUAUCCCAUAAAAGUAACCAAACAAGAUCGGUAGACUCGAUCAACAAUCAUAGAAUCUCCGAUCGGAGUAGACACAUGAACAAGUAUAUCUAUGCUAUCACAAAGCAAAUCCCAACCAACGGCAUGAAAUGCAAAUACAUACGAAUAAGUAGAUCCAGGACCAAAUAAUACAAAUGUUGCUCUAUGACGGACAAAAAUAGUAACUGAAAUCACAGCAUCUGAGGCCUCUGCCUCAGGCCUACCUGAAAAUGAGUAACAAUGGGCUCCACCACACCCGAUCUGAGAUCCUCCUCUCGUACCCUGAGAACCACCUCUAGCUGGCUGGGAACCACCUCUAGAACCAUGAGAAGCACCGCGGCCUGACUGAGCGCCGCCCCUCUGGGAAGUACCACCUCGACCGCCAGAUGAUGUAGGAGUCCUCGGUGGCUGGUAAUCCCGUCUGGGUCGGGGACAUCUCCUAGCAACAUGCCCAAUAUCUCCACAAGAAUAACAGGUAAUAGAAGAUGAAUGUUGAUACACGGAAGUUGAAUACCCGAAUGAAGCAGCCCUGUCCACUGGCUUGGAGAACGAACUCUCAGGAGCCCUCUGCAUGGGUGGCUCACUAGAAGAAGCUGGCAACGCUGAAUGCACGGGACGAACGGAAUAUGGCUGAGGUGGCCUCAAAAAUUGACCGGCGCCCCUCGAACCAUGACCUCCAAAACUACCAGUCUGACACUAUCUUUUGUCACUACUACUAAAAGCACGGGACUUAGUUCCCUCAACCAUAGAAGCAUGCUCGAUAAUGGACUGGAAGGAAGCCCCCCAUAGACUCCAUCUGAAGACAAGGAAUCUGUAGAGAGCCCACUAGUCCCCCAACAAAACGCCUGAUCCUAUCAGCCGCAGCAAGGAUCAAAGGAGUAGAAUAGCGGGCCAAAUAUAGGAAGCGGGUCACAUAGGACUCCAAAGACAUGCCCGCAUGCUCCAGAUACAAAAACAGCGCCCUUCAUGGGCCUAAUAUCAUCACUAGGAGUGGGUAUCGCAUCAAUGCAAGGAGCCAUAGUUGCAGCUGGAUGUACCACCCGCAUAGGUCCCUGCUCAGGGGUCUGCGCCCUUACUCGGGUCUAUGAACCCCUGCCGGGAGUAGUAACACCGGCUGCCGCCUACUGGGCAUCAGGAUGAAGUAGAAUCCUAGCCAUUGUGUCGUGCACGGCCUGAUCAGAAGUAACCUCAGGCUGUGUCCGUGAUGGGGCCACACCAUCCUCUACGGCCUGGUCUCUAUCCGGUUGAUACUCGAGCUCGGGAGAUGGAGACCUCUCUCGUUAUUGUCCUACUGCAGGAGCCCUACCCCUGGCUGGGGCAGCCCCGCAGCCUCUUGCUCUGCCACACCCUCUGGUUGUCACUCGCCCUCGGGUGCCAGCCGUAGCUGUGGGCUCUGGCACAUGACCUCGGGCCAUCGUGGCUCGAGUCCUUACCAUCUAUGAGAGAAAAGAUAAGGGUCAGAUACUAAUUUGAUCUUUCCAGAUACCAAUUCGAAUAAAGUAGCACGAAAAACGAAAGAAAGUGAGAUUUCCUAAAUGUCCUGUAGCCUCUCGCAGAUAAGUAAGGAGCUCAUCGUACCGAUGCACGAGACUCUACUAGACACGCUUUUGUAUUAUAGACCAGGUAACCUAGCGCUUUGAUACCAACUUGUCCCAACCUAUUUUGCCUAAGCCGUGCGGGCACUCACCUUCCCACCUCGAUAAGCGAACACCUCGGUAAGCUAACCCUCAACCUAACAAUGAAUAAAUACAUAAAAGAAUGAAAUUAAGCAACAGAAUAGAAUAAACGCGUAAGUCUCACGAUAUAUAUAUAUAUAUAUAUAUAUAUAUAUAUAUAUAUAUAUAUAUAUAUAAAAGUAGAAUAGUGUGGAAUAAUAAUAACACCCCCAAAUUUGGUAUAAACCCUAACUCUUUGAUUCCGAAAUUCAACGCUAGAAAUGGAAGAUAUAUGAUUAACAAGCUUAGAUUCAUCAAAAUCUUACAUAAACUCCCUCAAUUUUAUCAUUAAUAGCCUAGAGAAAAUGCUCAUCAAAACCCUCUUCCAACUUCCACUUCUAAGGGGUUUUUCAAGGGAAAGGGGAAUCUAAGAUGAUUAUGAUUAAAGGAAAAGUAAAGGAAUUAGAAAGAAUUACCUCCAAGAACUGUUCCCCAAGGUCAAAUUUUGAAAUGAGAAAUAAUGAGGAUUUAAGGGCUUUUAACAUUUCAUUAAUUUUACAAACUGCCGGUCACCCGCUUUAGCGGCAUUGGGACCACCCCAGUGGUGCCGCUUUAGCGGUCAAGGCAAAAGCCAUUGGACCGCUUCAGCGGCAGGGCUACAACUCUAGCGGUACCGUUGCCGUGGUGCUGCUGCCGCCAAAGCGGGCACCAGACACCAGAAAACUCUCCAAGUUUCACCAAUUGAUCCGAUUUUUCGACUAGUUUUCGAGGCCAUCUGCUCACAUACCAAACACAUAGACACAUAUAAAAACACCCUACGAACGCGCCCGUGGCCUCGGAAUUCCCAACAAAGAUCUCGUUGACCGAGUCAACCCCUAAUGCCUUAAUUCCAAUUUCCCAACCUAAGUCCCAAAAUGCAUCCAGGUGCAUUGGGUACCGAACCAAAUACACACACAAUUUCUAAACGACCAUCCGGACCUCUAGGAAUCGACGGAAUCCCGAAAAAGGUACGUCUAUCCAAAAGUCAACUUUGGAUCAACCAUUUUUCAUUUCAAGCCAAUAUUUCACAAAAGUUGCCUGAAUCCGGUCUAGACACCUCGGGAAGCGUGCCAACGAUCCUCUCGGGUAGAAAAUGGGCUAAUCAAUGCUCAGAAACGGGUGAAAAUGCUGAAAAGAUCAUAACGACCAAACGGUUUGUUACACUGUUCAUUCAAGAACAAGUUUUGAACACCCCAAGUUCUAGAAUUUUAAAUUUCUUGGCUCCAAAAACAAGAAAUUUCUCUUGUACUCCGCGUUCUUGAAUUAUCGGAACAAGUUUAAAAAUUUUGUUUCGUUUCGAGUGAGUUUGUUGAGUCGGUGAAAGGUCGUGUUGAGUCGGUGAAAGGUCGAAGGUGAUUCGCUACUCUCGUCACCCCGUCGCUGCUCGACGAAAAGCUUCUUUGCAUUGCGAGUUGUGCCAAAGGCCCAACAUAACAUUCUAUGGAGUCAGCCAAAUCCCAUUUCUAGCAGCAGCCGCAGAUAGAAGGCGCAAUCAUGGGUGAAAAUGGUUCAAGUUUAGGUUGGUGGGAUUGGUAAACCCACCAACUCAUUUUGUCAUUUUAUUUUAAUUAUAUUUGUAUUGUAUGUAUGAAUACUAGUGGAUAUUGAAACCCAUCGUUAGAACUUAGUCAAAUUAGGCAAACAA